UACGUAGGGUGCGAGCGUUAAUCGGAAUUACUGGGCGUAAAGCGUGCGCAGGCGGUUUGAUAAGACAGGCGUGAAAUCCCCGAGCUUAACUUGGGAAUGGCGCUUGUGACUGUCAGGCUAGAGUAUGUCAGAGGGGGGUAGAAUUCCACGUGUAGCAGUGAAAUGCGUAGAGAUGUGGAGGAAUACCGAUGGCGAAGGCAGCCCCCUGGGACGUCACUGACGCUCAUGCACGAAAGCGUGGGGAGCAAACAGG
This 253-nucleotide ribosomal RNA is filed under the name uncultured prokaryote. RNAcentral's name for it is "partial 16S ribosomal RNA". It matches the Rfam family "Bacterial small subunit ribosomal RNA", at positions 524 to 776 of the family's 1533-position model. The record is from RNAcentral.